Molecule: long non-coding RNA, 185 nt
Organism: Sinocyclocheilus grahami
Lineage: Eukaryota; Metazoa; Chordata; Actinopteri; Cypriniformes; Cyprinidae
Exons: 3
Source: RefSeq, a predicted model, not a curated record
CAGGAUUUCAGAGCCAUCACAUCAGACGUUCAGAGGGACAGCAGGGUCACGUCUCUCAGCACUCGAGCUGGAAUCAGGAACUCCCUCGUCACCAUCCUGGACCAGUUACAGCGCUGCCAGAAAUCCCUCAAUGAAUUCCUGGAGGAGAAGCGUACUGCGUUUCCUCGGUUUUACUUCACUGGAGA